Molecule: ribosomal RNA, 301 nt
Filed under: uncultured bacterium
Lineage: Bacteria
Description: partial 16S ribosomal RNA
Rfam family: Bacterial small subunit ribosomal RNA
Source: RNAcentral
CAGCCGCCGCGGUAAUACGUAGGUGGCAAGCGUUGUCCGGAAUUAUUGGGCGUAAAGGGCUCGCAGGCGGUUUCUUAAGUCUGAUGUGAAAGCCCCCGGCUCAACCGGGGAGGGUCAUUGGAAACUGGGAAACUUGAGUGCAGGAGAGGAGAGUGGAAUUCCACGUGUAGCGGUGAAAUGCGUAGAGAUGUGGAGGAACACCAGUGGCGAAGGCGACUCUCUGGUCUGUAACUGACGCUGAGGAGCGAAAGCGCGGGGAGCGAACAGGAUUAGAUACCCCCGUAGUCCCUGUCUCUUAUAC